CCCUUUGUGAACAUACCUAACUGUUGCUUCGGCGGGCAGGGGGUCCCCUCGGGGACGCCCUCCCGGCCACGCCCUUCACGGGGCGAGGCGCCCGCCGGAGGAUACCAAACUCUAUUUUAACGACGUUUCUUCUGAGUGGCACAAGCAAAUAAUUAAAACUUUUAACAACGGAUCUCUUGGUUCUGGCAUCGAUGAAGAACGCAGCGAAAUGCGAUAAGUAAUGUGAAUUGCAGAAUUCAGUGAAUCAUCGAAUCUUUGAACGCACAUUGCGCCCGCCAGCAUUCUGGCGGGCAUGCCUGUUCGAGCGUCAUUUCAACCCUCAAGCUCUGCUUGGUGUUGGGGCCCUACGGUUGACGUAGGCCCUUAAAGGUAGUGGCGGACCCUCUCGGAGCCUCCUUUGCGUAGUAACUAACGUCUCGCAUUGGGAUUCGGAGGGACUCUUGCCGUAAAACCCCC
RNAcentral lists this ribosomal RNA (456 nucleotides) under Colletotrichum dematium. RNAcentral describes it as "eukaryotic LSU rRNA". The stretch from base 157 to 310 matches the Rfam family "5.8S ribosomal RNA". The record is from RNAcentral. Lineage: Eukaryota; Fungi; Ascomycota; Sordariomycetes; Glomerellales; Glomerellaceae.